Molecule: long non-coding RNA, 689 nt
Filed under: Citrus x clementina
Lineage: Eukaryota; Viridiplantae; Streptophyta; Magnoliopsida; Sapindales; Rutaceae
Description: Citrus clementina (C. clementina) long non-coding RNA (CCLE_LNC005372)
Source: RNAcentral
AGAAAUUAUUGUAAUUGUCGUUUAAAUAGUAAAAUCUUUCUGCAUUCUCCUAUGAUUUUUUAUGCCAAAUUAUUUGGAGGGUUUCUCGUGUAAAAUACAUGUGUCCAUUUUAUCUUCAUUUCUCUCAAUUUCACUUUAGUUGACUGUGUCACCGGUAUUGUCCUAACAGUAGUGAGCUUGGGCGUGUUCAUUCGCUGGCAGUAGCAACAUUAAUAUUGGACUUUAUAACAUUUGCUAUGACCAAAAUUACCUUACAAACUCUCAUUCAUUACUAGAAAAAAUAGGUUUUACUGACACCAAUUUAGUGUCAGUAAUUACUUUUACUGACACUUAUUAAUUGUGUCAGUAAUGCUCAAGUCAGAACACACUGACACUAAAAAUUAGUGUCAGUGAUAUUUGUGUCAGUAAUUCGUGUCACUAUAGUAUCACCAAAAUAGUGACACUAUAGUGUUAGUAUUUAAUGAUACUAUUUUUGUGUCAGUAAUUCGUGUCACUAUAGUAUCACCAAAAUAAUGAUACUAUAGUGUUAGUAUUUGAUGAUACUAUUUGUGUGUCAGUAAUUUGCGUUACUAUAGUAUCACUAAAAUAAUGACACAAUAGUGUUAGUAUUUAAUGAUACUAUUUACAUAUUAGUUAUUUAUAUAAUUUUAAAUAUUUAGUGAUGUUAUGUUGCUUUUGAUUAAUAGUAU